GAUGAACGCUGGCUACAGGCUUAACACAUGCAAGUCGAGGGGAAACGACGGGGAAGCUUGCUUCCCCGGGCGUCGACCGGCGCACGGGUGAGUAACGCGUAUCCAACCUGCCUCUGACUGAGGGAUAACCCGUCGAAAGUCGGCCUAAUACCUCAUGGCAUCGUCUGCGGGCAUCCAACGACGAUUAAAGAUUUCAUCGGUCAGGGAUGGGGAUGCGUCUGAUUAGCUUGUUGGCGGGGUAACGGCCCACCAAGGCUACGAUCAGUAGGGGUUCUGAGAGGAAGGUCCCCCACAUUGGAACUGAGACACGGUCCAAACUCCUACGGGAGGCAGCAGUGAGGAAUAUUGGUCAAUGGGCGGGAGCCUGAACCAGUCAAGUAGCGUGCAGGAUGACGGCCCUAUGGGUUGUAAACUGCUUUUAUGCGGGGAUAAAGUGAGGGACGUGUCCUUCAUUGCAGGUACCGCAUGAAUAAGGACCGGCUAAUUCCGUG
This 491-nucleotide ribosomal RNA is filed under the name uncultured bacterium. Its description in RNAcentral is "partial 16S ribosomal RNA". It matches the Rfam family "Bacterial small subunit ribosomal RNA", at positions 28 to 507 of the family's 1533-position model. The record is from RNAcentral.